UGCAUCCAUGGCUCCUUACUUCUUCGAA
Molecule: non-coding RNA, 28 nt
Filed under: Mus musculus (house mouse)
Lineage: Eukaryota; Metazoa; Chordata; Mammalia; Rodentia; Muridae
Source: RNAcentral